This 1398-nucleotide ribosomal RNA is filed under the name uncultured bacterium. RNAcentral's name for it is "16S ribosomal RNA". It matches the Rfam family "Bacterial small subunit ribosomal RNA". The record is from RNAcentral.
AGAGUUUGAUCCUGGCUCAGGAUGAACGCUAGCGGCAGGCUUAACACAUGCAAGUCGAGGGGCAUCGGGAGGGAAGCUUGCUUUCCUUGCCGGCGACCGGCGCACGGGUGAGUAACACGUAUGCAACCUGCCCUCUUCAGGGGGACAACCUUCCGAAAGGGAGGCUAAUCCCGCGUAUAUCGGUUUCGGGCAUCCGAGAUCGAGGAAAGAUUCAUCGGAAGAGGAUGGGCAUGCGGCGCAUUAGCUAGACGGCGGGGUAACGGCCCACUGUGGCGACGAUGCGUAGGGGUUCUGAGAGGAAGGUCCCCCACACUGGUACUGAGACACGGACCAGACUCCUACGGGAGGCAGCAGUGAGGAAUAUUGGUCAAUGGGAGAGAUCCUGAACCAGCCAAGCCGCGUGAGGGAAGACGGCCCUAUGGGUUGUAAACCUCUUUUGUCGGAGAACAAAACCCGGGACGAGUCCCGGACUGCGUGUAUCCGAAGAAAAAGCAUCGGCUAACUCCGUGCCAGCAGCCGCGGUAAUACGGAGGAUGCGAGCGUUAUCCGGAUUUAUUGGGUUUAAAGGGUGCGUAGGCGGUCCGUUAAGUCAGCGGUAAAAUUGCGGGGCUCAACCCCGUCGAGCCGUUGAAACUGGCAGACUUGAGUUGGCGAGAAGUACGCGGAAUGCGCGGUGUAGCGGUGAAAUGCAUAGAUAUCGCGCAGAACUCCGAUUGCGAAGGCAGCGUACCGGCGCCAGACUGACGCUGAGGCACGAAAGCGUGGGGAUCGAACAGGAUUAGAUACCCUGGUAGUCCACGCAGUAAACGAUGAAUGCUGGUUGUCCGGGUCGAAUGAGACCUGGGCGGCGAAGCGAAAGCGAUAAGCAUUCCACCUGGGGAGUACGCCGGCAACGGUGAAACUCAAAGGAAUUGACGGGGGCCCGCACAAGCGGAGGAACAUGUGGUUUAAUUCGAUGAUACGCGAGGAACCUUACCCGGGCUCAAACGGGAGUGGAAUGGACCAGAGACGGUUCAGCCUACGGGCCGCUUCCGAGGUGCUGCAUGGUUGUCGUCAGCUCGUGCCGUGAGGUGUCGGCUUAAGUGCCAUAACGAGCGCAACCCCCGCCGGCAGUUGCUAACGGGCAAUGCCGAGGACUCUGCCGGGACUGCCGCCGCAAGGCGUGAGGAAGGCGGGGAUGACGUCAAAUCAGCACGGCCCUUACGUCCGGGGCGACACACGUGUUACAAUGGGCGGUACAGCGGGAAGCCAGGCGGCGACGCCGAGCGGAACCCGAAAGCCGUUCUCAGUUCGGAUCGGAGUCUGCAACCCGACUCCGUGAAGCUGGAUUCGCUAGUAAUCGCGCAUCAGCCAUGGCGCGGUGAAUACGUUCCCGGGCCUUGUACUCACCGCCCGUCA